This 465-nucleotide ribosomal RNA is filed under the name uncultured bacterium. RNAcentral describes it as "partial 16S ribosomal RNA". It matches the Rfam family "Bacterial small subunit ribosomal RNA", at positions 338 to 795 of the family's 1533-position model. The record is from RNAcentral.
CCUACGGGUGGCAGCAGUAGGGAAUCUUCCACAAUGGGCGAAAGCCUGAUGGAGCAACGCCGCGUGGGUGAAGAAGGUCUUCUGAUCGUAAAACUCCGUUGUUAGAGAAGUAAGUGCGUGAGAGUAACUGUUCACGUUUCGACGGUAUCUAACCAGAAAGCCACGGCUAAUUACGUGCCAGCAGCCGCGGUAAGACGUAGGUGGCAAGCGUUAUCCGGAUUUAUUGGGCGUAAAGGGAACGCAGGCGGUCUUUUAAGUCUGAUGUGAAAGCCUGCGGCUUAACCGGAGUAGUGCAUUGGAUACUGGGAGACUUGAGUGCAGAAGAGGAGAGUGGAACUCGAGGUGUAGCGGUGAAAUGCGUAGAUAUAUGGAAGAACACCAGUGGCGAAAGCGGCUCUCUGGUCUGUAACUGACGCUGAGGUUCGAAAGCGUGGGUAGCAAACAGGAUUAGAUACCCUUGUAGUC